Small RNA from Aquimarina sp., 107 nucleotides. It matches the Rfam family "6S-Flavo RNA". The record is from Rfam. Lineage: Bacteria; Pseudomonadati; Bacteroidota; Flavobacteriia; Flavobacteriales; Flavobacteriaceae.
ACUCAACAAGAAUUAAUUAAAAAGGGUGAGUUUAAGUUGUAAAAGCGCGCCGCCUUGAGCGGAUUCUUGAGCAGCUUGUUAGCCCUAAACCUGUUUUUACAGAGUUU